CCAAUAGCGUAUAUUAAAGUUGUUGCAGUUAAAAAGCUCGUAGUUGAAUUUCGGGAUCAAUAUAUCGGUCGUGCCAUCGGUACGUACUGGUAUCAUUGGUUUCUCCUUUCUGACGAACCAUGAUGUCAUUUAUUUGGUGUCGUGGGGAAUCAGGACUGUUACUUUGAAAAAAUUAGAGUGUUUAAAGCAGGCUCACGCUUGAAUACAUUAGCAUGGAAUAAUGAAAUAGGACGUUUGAUUCUAUUUUGUUGGUUUCUAGGAUCGACGUAAUGAUUAAUAGGGAUAGUUGGGGGCAUUAGUAUUCAAUUGUCAGAGGUGAAAUUCUUGGAUUUAUUGAAGACUAACUACUGCGAAAGCAUUUGCCAAGGAUGUUUUCAUUAAUCAAGAACGAAAGUUAGGGGAUCGAAGACGAUCAGAUACCGUCGUAGUCUUAACCAUAAACUAUGCCGACUAGGGAUCGGAUGAUGUUAAUUUUUUAAUGACUCAUUCGGCGCCUUACG
This 500-nucleotide ribosomal RNA is filed under the name uncultured Glomeromycotina. RNAcentral's name for it is "partial small subunit ribosomal RNA". It matches the Rfam family "Eukaryotic small subunit ribosomal RNA", at positions 591 to 1092 of the family's 1831-position model. The record is from RNAcentral. Lineage: Eukaryota; Fungi; Glomeromycota.